This 253-nucleotide ribosomal RNA is filed under the name uncultured bacterium. RNAcentral's name for it is "partial 16S ribosomal RNA". It matches the Rfam family "Bacterial small subunit ribosomal RNA", at positions 524 to 776 of the family's 1533-position model. The record is from RNAcentral.
UACGUAGGUGGCAAGCGUUGUCCGGAUUUAUUGGGUUUAAAGGGUGCGUAGGCGGCCUAAUAAGUCAGUGCUGAAAUAUCCCGGCUUAACCGGGAGGGUGGCAUUGAUACUGUAAGGCUAGAGUAAAGUUGAGGUAGGCGGAAUUGACGGUGUAGCGGUGAAAUGCAUAGAUAUCGUCAAGAACUCCGAUAGCGUAGGCAGCUUACUAAGCUUAAACUGACGCUGAUGCACGAAAGUGUGGGGAUCAAACAGG